UACGUAGGCAGCAAGCGUUGUCCGGAAUUACUGGGCGUAAAGAGUUCGUAGGCGGUUUGUCGCGUCGUUUGUGAAAACCCGGGGCUCAACUUCGGGCUUGCAGGCGAUACGGGCAGACUUGAGUGUUUCAGGGGAGACUGGAAUUCCUGGUGUAGCGGUGAAAUGCGCAGAUAUCAGGAGGAACACCGGUGGCGAAGGCGGGUCUCUGGGAAACAACUGACGCUGAGGAACGAAAGCGUGGGUAGCAAACAGG
Molecule: ribosomal RNA, 253 nt
Filed under: uncultured bacterium
Lineage: Bacteria
Description: partial 16S ribosomal RNA
Rfam family: Bacterial small subunit ribosomal RNA
Source: RNAcentral